Molecule: ribosomal RNA, 242 nt
Filed under: Candidatus Roizmanbacteria bacterium CG_4_9_14_0_2_um_filter_39_13
Lineage: Bacteria; Candidatus Roizmaniibacteriota
Description: partial 23S ribosomal RNA
Rfam family: Bacterial large subunit ribosomal RNA
Source: RNAcentral
AGAGGACCGGAAAGAAGGAAUCCCUGGUGUACCGGUUGUCCUAAAAGGGCAUCGCCGGGUAGCUAUAUUCCUAAGGGAUAAGCACUGAAAGCAUCUCAAGUGCGAAGCCCCCUCCAAGAUGAGAAAUCCCAAUUAGUCUGCAGGAAGAUUACCUGCUUCGUCCAUAGGACGAUCAGCCUCUGGCUGAGAUAGGCUCUAAGUGUAAGUGCAGCAAUGUAUUUAGCUGAGGAGUACUAACUGAC